RNAcentral lists this long non-coding RNA (979 nucleotides) under Fragaria vesca (wild strawberry). RNAcentral describes it as "long non-coding RNA (FVES_LNC002344)". Lineage: Eukaryota; Viridiplantae; Streptophyta; Magnoliopsida; Rosales; Rosaceae. The record is from RNAcentral.
CGUCAAGGUGUGAAUAUUGCAUGUACUUUGGUUCUGGGUGAGGCACAACAAUCUCAAGAUGCUGACGACGAUGAAGAGCGACCAAGUGAAUCAGAACCUCAUGACGAGGACGAAGAAUUGAUUGCGGGUGCUUCAAACAAUCCAGAUGAAAAUGUAGAACAACCUAAUGCAGAUGAGCAAGAUGCAGAGGAGCGCGAUGACAAGCCUCUGACUCCCCAAAAUGCAGAGGAAAGUCCAAUUGGUGAAGAAUCAAAUGACACCAAACAGAAAUUGCGCUUGCCAAAUAAGAAAAAACCUCCGAGUAGAGUUGCAAAGAAGGGAAACGAAAAGCGUUCUGGAGUCCAUCAAGGUGUGAAUGUUGCACGUACAUUGGUUCUGGGUGAGGCACAACAAUCUCAAGAUGCUGACGACGAUGAAGAGCGAGCAAGUGAAUCAGAACCUCAUGACGAGGACGAAGAAUUGAUUGCAGGUGCUUCAAACAAUCCAGAUGAAAAUGUAGAACAACCUGAUGCAGAUGAGCAAGAUGCAGAGGAGCGCGAGGACAAGCCUCUGACUCCCCAAAAUGCAGAGGAAAUUCCAAUUGGUGAAGAAUCAAAUGACACCAAACAGAAAUUGCGCUUGCCAAAUAAGAAAAAACCCCCGAGUAGAGUUGCAAAGAAGGGAAACGAAAAGCGUUCUGGAGUCCGUCAAGGUGUGAAUGUUGCACGUACAUUGGUUCUGGGUGAGGCACAACAAUCUCAAGAUGCUGAAGACGAUGAAGAGCGAGCAAGUGAAUCAGAACCUCAUGACAAGGACGAAGAAUUGAUAGCUGGUGCUUCAAACAAUCCAGAUGAAAAUGUAGAACAACCUGAUGCAGAUGAGCAAGAUGCAGAGGAGCGCGAUGACAAGCCUCUGACUCCCCAAAAUGUAGAGGAAAGUCCAAUUGGUGAAGAAUCAAAUGAUACCAAACAGAAAUUGCGCUUGCCAAAUAAGAAAAAAC